AUUGAACGCUGGCGGCAGGCCUAACACAUGCAAGUCGAACGAGUGGCGGACGGGUGAGUAAUGUCUGGGAAACGGCCUGAUGGAGGGGGAUAACUAAUGGAAACGGUAGCUAAUAACGCAUACCAUCAGAUGUGCCCAGAUGGGUUUAGCUAGUUGUUGGGGUAACGGCUAACCAAGGAGCAGAUCCCUAGCUGGUCUGAGAGGAUGACCGGCCAAACUGGAACUGAGCCACGGUCCAGACUCCUACGGGAGGCAGCAGUGGGGAAUUUUGCACAAUGGGCGCAAGCCUGAUGCAGCCAUGCCGCGUGUAUGAAGAAGGCCUUGGGUUUGUAAAGUACUUUCAGCGGGGAGGCGUUACCCGAAGAAGAAGCACCGGCUAACUCCGUGCCAGCAGCCGCGGUAAUUC
This 406-nucleotide ribosomal RNA is filed under the name uncultured bacterium. RNAcentral describes it as "partial 16S ribosomal RNA". It matches the Rfam family "Bacterial small subunit ribosomal RNA", at positions 30 to 526 of the family's 1533-position model. The record is from RNAcentral.